Molecule: microRNA precursor, 102 nt
Filed under: Marmota monax (woodchuck)
Lineage: Eukaryota; Metazoa; Chordata; Mammalia; Rodentia; Sciuridae
Source: RNAcentral
AGUAGAAUUGCUGGACCAUAUGGUAACUCUGGGUUUAAGUUUCUAAGAAAUUGCCACAAUGUUUUCUAAAGUAGCUGCACCAGUUGGAUUCCCACCAGCCCU